GGCACAGCACGUGGUGGGCGACACUCAGUUGUUCUCGGUGCAGCGCCCCGGCACGCGGCCGGCGCAUCGGCCUAAGGACCCAUGGAGCACCGUAGCGCAUAGCCGCUCGGACCGCGACCCCAGGUCAGUCGGGACUACCCGCUGAGUUUAAGCAUAUAAAUAAGCGGAGGAGAAGAAACUUACAAGGAUUCCCCUAGUAACGGCGAGCGAACCGGGACCAGCCCAGCUUGAGAAUCGGGUUGGCUUCGUCGCCCGAAUUGUAGUCUGGAGAGGCGUCCUCAGCGACGGACCGAGCCCAAGUUCCCUGGAAAGGGACGCCUGGGAGGGUGGAGAGCCCCGUCCGGCCCGGACCCUGUCGCACCACGAGGCGCCGUCAACGAGUCGGGUUGUUUUGGGAAUGCAGCCCAAAUCGGGCGGUAAACUCCGUCCAAGGCUAAAUACAGGCGAGAGACCGAUAGCGAACAAGUACCGCGAGGGAAAGAUGAAAAGACUUUGAAAAGAGAGUCAAAGAGUGCUUGAAAUUGCCGGGAGGGAAGCGGAUGGGGGCUGGCGAUGCGCCCCCGGUCCGUAUGCGGAACGGCUCCUGCUGGUCCGCCGAUCGGCUCGGGGCGUGGACCGUUGUCGGCCGUGCCGGCGGCCUAAGCCCGGGGGCCCUAGGCGCCUCCGGCAGCCGUCGUCGCACGGCCGGUCUCCGCGCGCCGCAAGGCGCGCCCCUCGGGGCGCUGCGCUACAACGGCCUGCGAGCUCCCCAUCCGACCCGUCUUGAAACACGGACCAAGGAGUCUGACAUGCGUGCGAGUCGACGGGUUCUGAAACCUGGGAUGCGCAAGGAAGCUGACGAGCGGGAGGCCUUCACGGGCCGCACCGCUGGCCGACCCUGAUCUUCUGUGAAGGGUUCGAGUUGGAGCACGCCUGUCGGGACCCGAAAGAUGGUGAACUAUGCCUGAGCGGGGCGAAGCCAGAGGAAACUCUGGUGGAGGCUCGAAGCGAUACUGACGUGCAAAUCGUUCGUCGACUUGGGUAUAGGGCGAAAGACUAUCGAACCAUCUAGUAGCUGGUUCCCUCCGAAGUUUUCCCUCAGGAUAGCUGGAGCCCAUUACGAGUUCUAUCAGGUAAAGCAAUGAUUAGAGGCUCGGGGGCGCAACCCCUCGACCUAUUCUCAAACUUUAAAUAGGUAGGACGGCACGGCUGCUCCGGUGAGCCGUGCCACGGAUCGGGAGCUCCAGUGGGCCAUUUUGGUAAGCAGAACUGGCGAUGCGGAUGAACCGGAAGCCGGGUUACGUGCCGAACUGCGCGCUAACUAGAACCCACAAGGUGUUGGUCGAUAAGACAGCAGGACGGUGUCAUGGAAGUCGAAUCCGCUAAGGAUGUGUAACAACUCACCUGCGAAUCAACUAGCCCCGAAAAUGGAUGGCGCUGAAGCGCGCGAACCCACACCCGGCCAUCUGGCGAGCGCCAUGCCCCGAUGAGUAGAGGGCGCGGCGGGCCGCCGCGUGCCGGCCGGGGGACGACCGGGAACGGUCCUCUUCGGGGGCCUCCCCGGGCGUCGACAACCGACUCAGAACUGGUACGGACAAGGGGAAUCCGACUGUUUAAUUAAAACAAAGCAUUGCGAUGGUCCCCACGGAUGCUGACGCAUGUGAUUUCUGCCCAGUGCUCUGAAUGUCCAAAGUGAAGAAAUUCACCAAGCGCGGGUAACGGCGGGAGUAACUAUACUCUCUUAAGGUACCAAAUGCCUCGUCAUCUAAUUAUGACGCGCAUGAAUGGAUAACGAGAUUCCCACUGUCCUGUCUACUAUCCGCGAAACCACAGCCAAGGGAACGGGCUUGGCGAAUCAGCGGGGAAAGAAGACCCUGUUGAGCUUGACUCUAGUCCGACUUUGUGAAAUGACUUGAGAGGUGUAGGAUAAGUGGGAGCCCUCGGGCGCAAGUGAAAUACCACUACUUUUAACGUUAUUUUACUUAUUCCGUGGGUCGGAAGCGGGCAUCGCCCCUCCUUUUGCUCUAAGGCCUGGCCUCGCCGGCCGAUCCGGGCGGAAGACAUUGUCAGGUGGGGAGUUUUGGCUGGGGCGGCACAUCUGUUAAAAGAUAACGCAGUGUCCUAAGAUGACUCAACGAGAACAGAAUCUCGUGUGGAACAAAAGGGUAAAAGCCUCGUUUGAUUCUGAUUUCCAGUACGAAUACGAACCGUGAAAGCGUGCCUAUCGAUCCUUAGACCUUCGGAGUUUGAAGCUAAGGUGUCAGAAAAGUUACCACAGGGAUACUGGCUUGUGGCAAGCCAAGCGUUCAUAGCGACGUUGCUUUUUGAUCCUUCGAUGUCGCUCUUCCUAUCAUGUGAAGCAGAAUUCACCAAGUGUUGGAUUGUUCACCCACCAAUAGGGACGUGAGCUGGGUUUAGACCGUCGUGAGACGGUUAGUUUUACCUACUGAUGACCGUGCCGCGAUAGUAUUCAACCUAGUACAGAGGAACCGUUGAUUCACACAAUUGGUCUCGCGCUUGGUUGAAAAGCCAGUGGCGCGAAGCUACCGUGUGCCGGAUUAUGACUGAACGCCUCUAAGUCAGAAUCCAGCUAGCAACCGGCGCCUGUGCCCGCCGCUCGCCCCGACCCACAUUAGGCGUUCACGCCCCAAGGCCCGUGCCACUGCUCAGCCCGCCCGCCGACGCGCCGCGGCGGCCGCCGCAAAACCCGGGGCGCGAGCCCGGGCGGAGCGGCCGUCGGUGCAGAUCUUGGUGGUAGUAGCAAAUAUUCAAAUGAGAACUUUGAAGGCCGAAGAGG
This 2776-nucleotide ribosomal RNA is filed under the name Saccharum spontaneum (wild sugarcane). Its description in RNAcentral is "eukaryotic LSU rRNA". The stretch from base 115 to 2587 matches the Rfam family "Eukaryotic large subunit ribosomal RNA". The record is from RNAcentral. Lineage: Eukaryota; Viridiplantae; Streptophyta; Magnoliopsida; Poales; Poaceae.